Salvelinus namaycush (lake trout) is the source of this 479-nucleotide long non-coding RNA. RefSeq lists it as uncharacterized. The record is from RefSeq and is a predicted model, not a curated record. The transcript has 3 exons. Lineage: Eukaryota; Metazoa; Chordata; Actinopteri; Salmoniformes; Salmonidae.
GGCGAAUGUAUUAGGGGAAAAUGACCCGUUUGUUAUUUUCUAAAAAACCUUGGUAGUGUGUCAUAUUAAGAGAGGUGCAUUUCAAAGAGAUUUACCGCUACUCGGACACGAGGCCAAACACCGAUUACGACCAAGUAUUUCAAUAUAUGUGGCAUUUUGACCCUCCGAACUGACCGAAUGAGAGACUCAACAGCAUUAGAGCAUUUGCCGGUCCACCAGCGGAAAGCAAAUUCCCAUCGGCAGCACAAGACGCCAGUGUCCCUGACCAGCGUCGAACCUGCCGAGGAUGGACAUGGAGGGAACAUGGACACCAACCUCGGCGACAAGUUUAAAGAGGGACAAGAGGUCCUAGCCCGAUGGUCAGAUGGCCUGUUUUAUUUGGGGAUUAUCACUAAGAUAAAUAAGGGGAAGCAGCGCUGUUUUGUUGUCUUUGAAGAUCGUUCGAAGUCCUGGGUUCUGUGGAAGGACAUUCAGACAGG